RNAcentral lists this ribosomal RNA (515 nucleotides) under uncultured bacterium. RNAcentral's name for it is "partial 16S ribosomal RNA". It matches the Rfam family "Bacterial small subunit ribosomal RNA", at positions 28 to 523 of the family's 1533-position model. The record is from RNAcentral.
GAUGAACGCUGGCGGCGUGCCUAAUACAUGCAAGUCGAGCGAAUGGAUUAAGAGCUUGCUCUUAUGAAGUUAGCGGCGGGCGGGUGAGUAACACGUGGGUAACCUGCCCAUAAGACUGGGAUAACUCCGGGAAACCGGGGCUAAUACCGGAUAACAUUUUGAACCGCAUGGUUCGAAAUUGAAAGGCGGCUUCGGCUGUCACUUAUGGAUGGACCCGCGUCGCAUUAGCUAGUUGGUGAGGUAACGGCUCACCAAGGCAACGAUGCGUGGCCGACCGGAGGGGGUGAUCGGCCACACUGGGACUGAGACACGGCCCAGACUCCUACGGGAGGCAGCAGUAGGGAAUCUUCCGCAAUGGACGAAAGUCUGACGGAGCAACGCCGCGUGAGUGAUGAAGGAUUUCGGGUCGUAAAACUCUGUUGUUAGGGAAGAACAAGUGCUAGUUGAAUAAGCUGGCACCUUGACGGUACCUAACCAGAAAGCCACGGCUAACUACGUGCCAGCCGCCGCCGCGG